GGUGACGUUCUUCGAGCUUCGAAGCUUCCGGCGGUGGAGGUGGCUUAGCUCGGCCGUGUAGAGCUUCGAGUGAUGAAGCUCUCACAGCAAUUGGAAAUGAGCGUGUACUGAAGGUGGGAGGGAAGCAAUUGCACGGUGCUUUUUCGAAUGAAGGGAAAAAUCUUCUCCUUCGUCUCUUUCUUGGAGCAAUUCUGGUGAGUUGUUGCUUGUUGAUGGUGAAGUGUUGAGGUUCAAGAAUUGAAUAGGUGAUGGAGAUUGGUUACGGUUACGGUGGUUCGGUGAACGGAGAUUGGUUGCGGUUGAUGAAGAGAAUGAAUCAACGAAGAAUCCAGAGUAAUUUCCGCGAGAUCUCGAACGAAUCUGUAUCCGAUCCGAAGUCCGGCCGAAUCGUAAGCUCCGAUGAUCCUUCUUCUUCUUCUCGUUCUUAGUUUGUUUUUCUGAAUUCUGUGAAACUCUUUUGGCUAUGGAGUUGUGGUUUUUGGUUUUUGCUACUUCUUCAAUCUCUCUUUCUGUUUCAUUCUUGGAAGGUUGCGUGUAGUUAAAAAUGGUGAGUGAAGAUUGGUGAGGUUCGAAUGGUUCAGAGUUGAGGGAAGGUUUGGUGAUUUGUGAAGAUGGAGAUUACGGUUACGGAUCCGUGGUGGUUGAAGAUUUGGCCAUGGAGUUCGGAGUUUAGUGAAGGUGUGGAUUGGAAGGUGAAGGUUGAUGUUGAAGAAGAUUAGGUGAUGGAGGAAGAAGAAGAAUCUGGAUCGUGAUGAUGAGCAUGGUUGAAGGUUAGUUACAGGUUGAAGAAGAAUCUGGAAAAGUUUGUUAGAGGUUGAAGGAUUGAAGGCAAAAACGAUUUUGGAAUGAGAGGGAAAAUUUUCUGAAACCAAUGAUUGGCAAUGAUUGCAGCUUAUAUAGCAGGAUCUAAGGGGCAAAUUGGAGAAUUAAAUCUGAAAUGAUUCAAUCUGCACCAUCCAGCUGGCAUUAAGUGAAGGACACAUGCUGUCAUGGAAUUGGUAUUGCACAUCGUCCGCUUUGCACUACAGCGGUCAAGCCAAGGAUUACAAAGGUUAGGCUUUGAAGCCUCAUUGCCGGUUGCAUUCGGGUUGAGAUGGCC
This is a long non-coding RNA of Lathyrus oleraceus (garden pea), 1099 nucleotides long. RefSeq lists it as uncharacterized. Lineage: Eukaryota; Viridiplantae; Streptophyta; Magnoliopsida; Fabales; Fabaceae. The transcript is spliced from 3 exons. The record is from RefSeq and is a predicted model, not a curated record.